This 67-nucleotide non-coding RNA is filed under the name Ethanoligenens harbinense. RNAcentral also lists the same sequence under 1 other name. Lineage: Bacteria; Bacillati; Bacillota; Clostridia; Eubacteriales; Oscillospiraceae. The record is from RNAcentral.
AGCCGAAACGGGACUUUGGUCCUGUCUGCCGGGAAUGGCCGCCCGGCACUGAGGAUGGCAGGCUGCU